AGAGUUUGAUCCUGGCUCAGAACGAACGCUGGCGGCAGGCCUAACACAUGCAAGUCGAGCGCUGCCUUCGGGUGGAGCGGCGGACGGGUUAGUAACGCGUGGGAAUAUACCCUUCACUAUGGAAUAGCCUCGGGAAACUGAGAGUAAUACCAUAUACGCCCCUCGGGGGAAAGAUUUAUCGGUGAAGGAUUAGCCCGCGUAAGAUUAGAUAGUUGGUGGGGUAAUGGCCUACCAAGUCUACGAUCUUUAGCUGGUUUUAGAGGAUGAUCAGCAACACUGGGACUGAGACACGGCCCAGACUCCUACGGGAGGCAGCAGUGGGGAAUCUUAGACAAUGGGCGAAAGCCUGAUCUAGCCAUGCCGCGUGAGUGAUGAAGGUCUUAGGAUCGUAAAGCUCUUUCGCUAGGGAUGAUAAUGACAGUACCUAGUAAAGAAGCCCCGGCUAACUCCGUGCCAGCAGCCGCGGUAAUA
RNAcentral lists this ribosomal RNA (471 nucleotides) under uncultured Pseudomonadota bacterium. RNAcentral's name for it is "bacterial SSU rRNA". It matches the Rfam family "Bacterial small subunit ribosomal RNA", at positions 8 to 525 of the family's 1533-position model. Lineage: Bacteria; Pseudomonadati; Pseudomonadota. The record is from RNAcentral.